This is a non-coding RNA of Carlito syrichta (Philippine tarsier), 1177 nucleotides long. Lineage: Eukaryota; Metazoa; Chordata; Mammalia; Primates; Tarsiidae. The record is from the annotation of a RefSeq genome assembly.
AUGGCAGGAGGUAGAGGAAGAGGGCAGAUCCGGACCCUCAUCCAGCAGCAGCGAGCUCUCCGGCAGCACACAAAGCCCGUGACUGUGACAUGGAACUCAGGCGCCCUGACCAGCGGCGUGCACGACUUCCCACCAGUCCUGCUGUCGGGGCUCUACUCCAAGAGCAGCAUGGUGACCGUGCCUGCCGGCAACUUGCGCAGUCAGACUUUCACCUGCAAUGUAGCUCACACGGCCAGCGGUACCAAGGUGGACAAGAAAGUUGAAUACUCCAGUAAGCCGCCAGAGGGGGACUGUUCCAAGUGCUCGUGUUGUAGCUCCCUGCUGGGAGGACCGUCAGUCUUCAUCUUCCCCCCAAAACCCAAGGACACCCUCAUGAUCUCCCUGACCCCCAAGGUCACAUGUGUGGUAGUGGACGUGAGCCAGGAUGAACCCGACGUCCAGUUCACCUGGUACGUGGAUGGCGUAGAGACGCACACGGCCCAGACGAAGCCACGGGAGCAGCAGUACAACAGCACGUACCGUGUGGUCAGCGAACUCCCUGUCCAGCACCAGGACUGGCUGAAAGGCAAGGAGUUCAAGUGCAAGGUCAACAACAAAGCCCUCCCAGCCCCCAUCGAGAGAACCAUCUCCAAGGUCAAAGGGCAGCCCCGUGAGCCACAGGUGUACACCCUGCCCCCAUCCCAGGAGGAAAUGAGCAAGAGCCAUGUCAGCAUAACCUGCCUGGUCACUGACUUCUACCCUCUAGACAUCAGUGUUGAGUGGGAAAGCAAUGGACAGGUGGAGAAAGACUACAAGAAUACCCAGCCCGUGCUAGACAGCAAUGGCCACUACUUCCUCUACAGCAAGCUCCGUGUGGACAAGAAAAGAUGGGAUGCGAAGAGCCUAUUCACGUGCUCUGUGAUGCAUGAGGCUCUGCACAACCACCAUACGCAGAGGUCCCUUUCCCGGCCUCCGGAGCUGCACCUGGACGAGAGCUGUGCCCAGGCCCAGGACGGGGAGCUGGAUGGGCUGUGGACCACCAUCACCAUCUUCAUCACACUCUUCCUGCUGAGCGUGUGCUACAGCGCCACCGUCACCUUCUUCAAGGUGAAGUGGAUUUUCUCUUCGGUGGUGGACCUGAAGCAGACAAUCAUCCCCGACUACAGGAACAUGAUUGGGCAGGGGGCCUAGAGUCACC